This 77-nucleotide transfer RNA is filed under the name Syntrophorhabdaceae bacterium PtaU1.Bin034. Its description in RNAcentral is "tRNA-Pro". It matches the Rfam family "tRNA". Rfam says of the family: Transfer RNA (tRNA) molecules are approximately 80 nucleotides in length. Their secondary structure includes four short double-helical elements and three loops (D, anti-codon, and T loops). Lineage: Bacteria; Pseudomonadati; Thermodesulfobacteriota; Syntrophorhabdia; Syntrophorhabdales; Syntrophorhabdaceae. The record is from RNAcentral.
UCGGGGCGUAGCGCAGCUUGGUUAGCGCACCAGUAUGGGGUGCUGGUGGCCGCUGGUUCAAAUCCAGUCGCCCCGAU